CUAACCAGGAUUCCCCUAGUAACGGCGAGUGAAGCGGGAAGAGCUCAAAUUUGUAAUCUGGCGGUCUCAGACCGUCCGAGUUGUAGUCUGGAGAAGCGUCUUCCGUGCCGGCCCGUGUACAAGUCCCUUGGAACAGGGCGUCAUAGAGGGUGAGAAUCCCGUCUUUGACACGGACUGCCGGUGCUCUGUGAUGCGCUCUCGAAGAGUCGAGUUGUUUGGGAAUGCAGCUCAAAACGGGUGGUAAAUUCCAUCUAAAGCUAAAUAUUGGCGAAAGACCGAUAGCGAACAAGUACCGUGAGGGAAAGAUGAAAAGCACUUUGGAAAGAGAGUUAAACAGUACGUGAAAUUGUUGAAAGGGAAACGCUUGAAGUCAGUCACGUCUUCCGGGACUCAGCCGGGCACAUUUGUGUCCGGUGUACUUCCCGGUCUGACGGGCCAGCAUCGAUUUCGACCGUCGGAGAAAGGCUCAGGGAAUGUGGCACCUCCGGGUGUGUUAUAGCCUCGAGUCAUAUGCGACGGUCGGGAUCGAGGAUCGCAGCAUGCCUUCAUCGGCCGGGGUUCGCCCACGCAACAUGCUUAGGAUGCUGGCGUAAUGGCUUUAAGCG
Molecule: ribosomal RNA, 605 nt
Filed under: Ramaria molleriana
Lineage: Eukaryota; Fungi; Basidiomycota; Agaricomycetes; Gomphales; Gomphaceae
Description: eukaryotic LSU rRNA
Rfam family: Eukaryotic large subunit ribosomal RNA
Source: RNAcentral